GAUGAACGCUGGCGGCGUGCCUAAUACAUGCAAGUCGAGCGAACAGAUGAGGAGCUUGCUCCUCUGACGUUAGCGGCGGACGGGUGAGUAACACGUGGAUAACCUACCUAUAAGACUUGGAUAACUUCGGGAAACCGGAGCUAAUACCGGAUAAUAUAUUGAACCGCACGGUUCAAUAGUGAAAGACGGUUUUGCUGUCACUUAUAGAUGGAUCCGCGCCGCAUUAGCUAGUUGGUAAGGUAACGGCUUACCAAGGCAACGAUGCGUAGCCGACCUGAGAGGGUGAUCGGCCACACUGGAACUGAGACACGGUCCAGACUCCUACGGGAGGCAGCAGUAGGGAAUCUUCCGCAAUGGGCGAAAGCUUGACGGAGCAACGCCGCGUGAGUGAUGAAGGUCUUCGGAUCGUAAAACUCUGUUAUUAGGGAAGAACAAAUGUGUAAGUAACUAUGCACGUCUUGACGGUACCUAAUCAGAAAGCCACGGCUAACUACGUG
RNAcentral lists this ribosomal RNA (497 nucleotides) under uncultured bacterium. RNAcentral describes it as "partial 16S ribosomal RNA". It matches the Rfam family "Bacterial small subunit ribosomal RNA", at positions 28 to 507 of the family's 1533-position model. The record is from RNAcentral.